GUUUCAUUGGAACUUCUACUGCAUCACCAAUUCCGUAGUUCAGAUGUAUUUGCAACAUUCUAAUUCGAAGAAUUGAAGUAUACCGGUUUAUCGUGAUAGAGGCGAUCACUCUUCCUUAGUGUUUUCGACAUGACUGUACAAAGAUGAUUUGCUUAAGCUUUUCAUUUUA
Long non-coding RNA from Octopus sinensis (East Asian common octopus), 169 nucleotides. RefSeq lists it as uncharacterized. The transcript has 2 exons. The record is from RefSeq and is a predicted model, not a curated record. NCBI's taxonomy places the organism in Eukaryota, Metazoa, Mollusca, Cephalopoda, Octopoda, Octopodidae.